AUGGCGACCCACCGCAGCCUCCAAGACCUCGACGACGGUCGGUGCUACGGUAUGAAUCCCUCCUCCCCUUGUCUUCUUCUACUUGACCUUUUCUCUCCGUCUCUCCCUGACCCCCUCGUCCCUUCUCUUCUCUUCUCUGUAGGUGAGGCACAUCAGCCAGCGAUGGCACGACGAGGAGAGCAUCCUCCUUCUCCUGCCAGUGCCAUGGAAUGGAAGUUAGAUCCUUCGAGAGCAAUGGGAAGAGGCAAUGAUGGUCAUGGGUACCCACCCGGUGGCCAGGGGGGAUACCCUCCGGCAGGGUACCUGCCGCAGCAGGGAGGUUACCCUCCACAGCAAGGAUACCCGCCUGCACCUGGAGCUUACCCACCUGCACUAAAGCUCAAGGUGAAGAAGGCCAUCGAGAAGGGCAACACCGACGGCGCCCAGAUCUAUGCAGAGAGCGCCAUCCGCAAGCGCACUGAGCACAUGAACUACCUCCGCCUCGCCUCCCGCCUCGCUCCAUAUGCCCAUGAGUUCUAUGCCAUCUCGGCGGAGUACCCUGAGUUCAGCAAGAAGGACAAGACACUCGUGCUGCAGUUCACGGUGAAGCAUGAGCAAAAGCUUGUCUGCGGUGGUGGUUACAUCAAGUUGCUCGGAGCCUUGCCUGUGUACAAUUUCUUCUUGAUAUGCUUCAAUUUUAAACCGUACAGUACAUGAAGUCAGCCUCCGGCCAUUGCGGAUCUGCAGACGCCGCUGGUGCAACCAAAGAGGAAGGUGGACUACCUGCUACGGUUUGCUUCAGCUCGUGCGGAUAGGAGGUGGAUACCCGCCCGGAUCCGGCGUCUCUGA
This 828-nucleotide ribosomal RNA is filed under the name Triticum aestivum (bread wheat). RNAcentral's name for it is "partial small subunit ribosomal RNA". Lineage: Eukaryota; Viridiplantae; Streptophyta; Magnoliopsida; Poales; Poaceae. The record is from RNAcentral.